This 1247-nucleotide ribosomal RNA is filed under the name Lactiplantibacillus paraplantarum. RNAcentral's name for it is "bacterial SSU rRNA". It matches the Rfam family "Bacterial small subunit ribosomal RNA", at positions 97 to 1331 of the family's 1533-position model. The record is from RNAcentral. Lineage: Bacteria; Bacillati; Bacillota; Bacilli; Lactobacillales; Lactobacillaceae.
GGCGAACUGGUGAGUAACACGUGGGAAACCUGCCCAGAAGCGGGGGAUAACACCUGGAAACAGAUGCUAAUACCGCAUAACAACUUGGACCGCAUGGUCCGAGUUUGAAAGAUGGCUUCGGCUAUCACUUUUGGAUGGUCCCGCGGCGUAUUAGCUAGAUGGUGAGGUAACGGCUCACCAUGGCAAUGAUACGUAGCCGACCUGAGAGGGUAAUCGGCCACAUUGGGACUGAGACACGGCCCAAACUCCUACGGGAGGCAGCAGUAGGGAAUCUUCCACAAUGGACGAAAGUCUGAUGGAGCAACGCCGCGUGAGUGAAGAAGGGUUUCGGCUCGUAAAACUCUGUUGUUAAAGAAGAACAUAUCUGAGAGUAACUGUUCAGGUAUUGACGGUAUUUAACCAGAAAGCCACGGCUAACUACGUGCCAGCAGCCGCGGUAAUACGUAGGUGGCAAGCGUUGUCCGGAUUUAUUGGGCGUAAAGCGAGCGCAGGCGGUUUUUUAAGUCUGAUGUGAAAGCCUUCGGCUCAACCGAAGAAGUGCAUCGGAAACUGGGAAACUUGAGUGCAGAAGAGGACAGUGGAACUCCAUGUGUAGCGGUGAAAUGCGUAGAUAUAUGGAAGAACACCAGUGGCGAAGGCGGCUGUCUGGUCUGUAACUGACGCUGAGGCUCGAAAGUAUGGGUAGCAAACAGGAUUAGAUACCCUGGUAGUCCAUACCGUAAACGAUGAAUGCUAAGUGUUGGAGGGUUUCCGCCCUUCAGUGCUGCAGCUAACGCAUUAAGCAUUCCGCCUGGGGAGUACGGCCGCAAGGCUGAAACUCAAAGGAAUUGACGGGGGCCCGCACAAGCGGUGGAGCAUGUGGUUUAAUUCGAAGCUACGCGAAGAACCUUACCAGGUCUUGACAUACUAUGCAAAUCUAAGAGAUUAGACGUUCCCUUCGGGGACAUGGAUACAGGUGGUGCAUGGUUGUCGUCAGCUCGUGUCGUGAGAUGUUGGGUUAAGUCCCGCAACGAGCGCAACCCUUAUUAUCAGUUGCCAGCAUUAAGUUGGGCACUCUGGUGAGACUGCCGGUGACAAACCGGAGGAAGGUGGGGAUGACGUCAAAUCAUCAUGCCCCUUAUGACCUGGGCUACACACGUGCUACAAUGGAUGGUACAACGAGUUGCGAACUCGCGAGAGUAAGCUAAUCUCUUAAAGCCAUUCUCAGUUCGGAUUGUAGGCUGCAACUCGCCUACAUGAAGUCGGAA